GACGAACGCUGGCGGCGUGCCUAAUACAUGCAAGUAGAACGCACAGUUUAUACCGUAGCUUGCUACACCAUAGACUGUGAGUUGCGAACGGGUGAGUAACGCGUAGGUAACCUGCCUGGUAGCGGGGGAUAACUAUUGGAAACGAUAGCUAAUACCGCAUAAUAUUAAUUAUUGCAUGAUAAUUAAUUGAAAGGUGCAAUUGCACCACUACCAGAUGGACCUGCGUUGUAUUAGCUAGUAGGUGAGGUAACGGCUCACCUAGGCGACGAUACAUAGCCGACCUGAGAGGGUGAUCGGCCACACUGGGACUGAGACACGGCCCAGACUCCUACGGGAGGCAGCAGUAGGGAAUCUUCGGCAAUGGACGAGAGUCUGACCGAGCAACGCCGCGUGAGUGAAGAAGGUUUUCGGAUCGUAAAGCUCGGUUGUAAGAGAAGAACGGGUGUGAGAGUGGAAAGUUCACACUGUGACGGUAGCUGACCAGAAAGGGACGGCUAACUACGUG
RNAcentral lists this ribosomal RNA (505 nucleotides) under uncultured bacterium. RNAcentral's name for it is "partial 16S ribosomal RNA". It matches the Rfam family "Bacterial small subunit ribosomal RNA", at positions 28 to 507 of the family's 1533-position model. The record is from RNAcentral.